RNAcentral lists this ribosomal RNA (714 nucleotides) under Escherichia coli. RNAcentral describes it as "partial 23S ribosomal RNA". It matches the Rfam family "Bacterial large subunit ribosomal RNA", at positions 2180 to 2888 of the family's 2925-position model. Lineage: Bacteria; Pseudomonadati; Pseudomonadota; Gammaproteobacteria; Enterobacterales; Enterobacteriaceae. The record is from RNAcentral.
AUGGAGCCGACCUUGAAAUACCACCCUUUAAUGUUUGAUGUUCUAACGUUGACCCGUAAUCCGGGUUGCGGACAGUGUCUGGUGGGUAGUUUGACUGGGGCGGUCUCCUCCUAAAGAGUAACGGAGGAGCACGAAGGUUGGCUAAUCCUGGUCGGACAUCAGGAGGUUAGUGCAAUGGCAUAAGCCAGCUUGACUGCGAGCGUGACGGCGCGAGCAGGUGCGAAAGCAGGUCAUAGUGAUCCGGUGGUUCUGAAUGGAAGGGCCAUCGCUCAACGGAUAAAAGGUACUCCGGGGAUAACAGGCUGAUACCGCCCAAGAGUUCAUAUCGACGGCGGUGUUUGGCACCUCGAUGUCGGCUCAUCACAUCCUGGGGCUGAAGUAGGUCCCAAGGGUAUGGCUGUUCGCCAUUUAAAGUGGUACGCGAGCUGGGUUUAGAACGUCGUGAGACAGUUCGGUCCCUAUCUGCCGUGGGCGCUGGAGAACUGAGGGGGGCUGCUCCUAGUACGAGAGGACCGGAGUGGACGCAUCACUGGUGUUCGGGUUGUCAUGCCAAUGGCACUGCCCGGUAGCUAAAUGCGGAAGAGAUAAGUGCUGAAAGCAUCUAAGCACGAAACUUGCCCCGAGAUGAGUUCUCCCUGACUCCUUGAGAGUCCUGAAGGAACGUUGAAGACGACGACGUUGAUAGGCCGGGUGUGUAAGCGCAGCGAUGCGUUG